Molecule: ribosomal RNA, 265 nt
Filed under: uncultured Syntrophomonas sp.
Lineage: Bacteria; Bacillati; Bacillota; Clostridia; Eubacteriales; Syntrophomonadaceae
Description: partial 16S ribosomal RNA
Rfam family: Bacterial small subunit ribosomal RNA
Source: RNAcentral
AACAGGUAGAGCUGAGCACUCUAAUGGGACGUGCCCGUGACAAGCGGGAGGAAGGUGGGGAGUGACGUCAAAUCAUCAUGCCCUUUAUGAUCUGGGCUACACACGUGCUACAAUGGAUGGUACAGAGAGCAGCGAGGCCGCGAGGUGGAGCGAAUCUCAAAAAGCCAUUCUCAGUUCGGAUUGCAGUCUGCAACUCGACUGCAUGAAGUCGGAAUCGCUAGUAAUCGCGAAUCAGCACGUCGCGGUGAAUGCGUUCCCGGGCCUU